UACGAAGGGGGCUAGCGUUGUUCGGAUUUACUGGGCGUAAAGCGCGUGUAGGCGGGUCGUUAAGUUGGGGGUGAAAUCCCGAGGCUCAACCUCGGAACUGCCUUCAAAACUGGCGACCUGGACUCAAGUAGAGGCAAGUGGAAUUGCGAGUGUAGAGGUGAAAUUCGUAGAUAUUCGCAGGAACACCAGUGGCGAAGGCGACUUGCUGGACUUGUAGUGACGCUGAGACGCGAAAGCGUGGGGAGCAAACAGGAUUAGAAACCCGUGUAGU
This 271-nucleotide ribosomal RNA is filed under the name uncultured bacterium. RNAcentral's name for it is "partial 16S ribosomal RNA". It matches the Rfam family "Bacterial small subunit ribosomal RNA", at positions 524 to 794 of the family's 1533-position model. The record is from RNAcentral.